CUAUACAUGCAGUCGAACGAGAUUAAGGGGCUUGCUCCUUAUGAAAGUGGCGCACGGGUGCGUAACGCGUAUGCAACCUACCUCAAUCAGGGGGAUAGCCCGAAGAAAUUCGGAUUAACACCGCAUAAAAACACAGGAUAGCAUUAUCUAAUGUUCAAAUAUUUAUAGGAUUGAGAUGGGCAUGCGUGUCAUUAGCUAGUUGGCGGGGUAACGGCCCACCAAGGCGACGAUGACUAGGGGAUCUGAGAGGAUGACCCCCCACACUGGUACUGAGACACGGACCAGACUCCUACGGGAGGCAGCAGUAAGGAAUAUUGGUCAAUGGAGGCAACUCUGAACCAGCCAUGCCGCGUGCAGGAAGACAGCCCUCUGGGUCGUAAACUGCUUUUAUUCGGGAAUAAACCUUAUUACGUGUAAUAAGCUGAAUGUACCGAAGGAAUAAGGAUCGGCUAACUCCGUGCCAGCAGCCGCGGUAAUACGGAGGAUCCAAGCGUUAUCCGGAUUUAUUGGGUUUAAAGGGUGCGUAGGCGGCUUAUUAAGUCAGGGGUGAAAGACGGUGGCUCAACCAUCGCAGUGCCUUUGAUACUGAUGAGCUUGAAUGAACUAGAGGUAGGCGGAAUGUGACAAGUAGCGGUGAAAUGCAUAGAUAUGUCACAGAACACCGAUUGCGAAGGCAGCUUACUAUGGUUUUAUUGACGCUGAGGCACGAAAGCGUGGGGAUCAAACAGGAUUAGAUACCCUGGUAGUCCACGCCCUAAACGAUGAAUACUCGCUGUUAGCGAUAUACAGUUAGCGGCUAAGCGAAAGCGUUAAGUAUUCCACCUGGGGAGUACGCCCGCAAGGGUGAAACUCAAAGGAAUUGACGGGGGCCCGCACAAGCGGAGGAGCAUGUGGUUUAAUUCGAUGAUACGCGAGGAACCUUACCCGGGCUUGAAAGUUAGUGAAUUAUCUAGAGAUAGAUAAGUGAGCAAUCACACGAAACUAGUGCUGCAUGGCUGUCGUCAGCUCGUGCCGUGAGUGU
Molecule: ribosomal RNA, 1021 nt
Filed under: Pedobacter sp. MSI4
Lineage: Bacteria; Pseudomonadati; Bacteroidota; Sphingobacteriia; Sphingobacteriales; Sphingobacteriaceae
Description: bacterial SSU rRNA
Rfam family: Bacterial small subunit ribosomal RNA
Source: RNAcentral